RNAcentral lists this non-coding RNA (31 nucleotides) under Homo sapiens (human). Lineage: Eukaryota; Metazoa; Chordata; Mammalia; Primates; Hominidae. The record is from RNAcentral.
UCCUGUACUCGACUCAUGCUGUGCACUCUCA